CCUACGGGAGGCAGCAGUGAGGAAUAUUGGUCAAUGGUCGGGAGACUGAACCAGCCAAGCCGCGUGAGGGAUGAAGGUACAGAGUAUCGUAAACCUCUUUUGUCAGGGAACAAAGGCGGGGACGUGUCCCCGGCUGAGUGUACCUGAAGAAAAAGCAUCGGCUAACUCCGUGCCAGCAGCCGCGGUAAUACGGAGGAUGCGAGCGUUAUCCGGAUUUAUUGGGUUUAAAGGGUGCGCAGGCGGUCUGUUAAGUCAGCGGUCAAAGCCCGGGGCUCAACCCCGGCCCGCCGUUGAAACUGGCAGUCUCGAGUUGGAGAGAAGUAUGCGGAAUGCGCGGUGUAGCGGUGAAAUGCAUAGAUAUCGCGCAGAACUCCGAUUGCGAAGGCAGCAUGCCGGCUCCACACUGACGCUGAUGCUCGAAAGCGCGGGUAUCGAACAGGAUUAGAUACCCUAGUAGUC
Molecule: ribosomal RNA, 459 nt
Filed under: uncultured bacterium
Lineage: Bacteria
Description: partial 16S ribosomal RNA
Rfam family: Bacterial small subunit ribosomal RNA
Source: RNAcentral